UGAUUCUAGAAUGAUCAGCUUUCAACUGCCCCUCACUGCCUUUCAUGAAAAUUGAUUCUCCUCAUUAGUUCUUUUUCUUUUUUCUUUUUUUUUAUUUUUCCUGAUUAUAUUUUUAUACAAUUUUAAUAAUCUUUUUUUUGACAUUUUGUGAUCAAUGUUCAUUCCUCCCUCUAUUCUUUAACAGUCCCCAAAACAGCUGAUAAUAUGAUAUAGGCUAAAUGUGUUACCAUACAAUACCUAUUUCCAUGUUCCUCAUGUUGUGAAAGAAGAUAUAUAUUGUUUUCACUAGAGAAAAAUUUCUGGAGGGAAUAAAGUGAAGAAUGAUAUACUUCAAUCUGCUUUCAGAUUCUAUCAGUUCCUUCUAUGGCAGCAAAUAGCCUUUUUCAUGGGAAGAAAAUUGAAUUCUUGCAAGGAAGCAGUAGACAAUUGCAAUGAGAGGGAAAUGGAAAGGGAGGAAGCAAAAGAAGGAUGCAAAGUAACCAUCAAUUCUGGAAGCAUCCAUUUAUUUAUACUGCAAGUUAUGCUCAGGGAAACAAACAGAAAAGUAGAAGACAGUCAAAGAUAAGAGAUCUUCCACAAUAAUGUCUUUGGGCUGCAAAGUGCCCUUUCUGCUGGGAGGGAAGGAGAAAGAAAUACCAAAUCUCCACUCUUGACACAAGACCAGAAAAGAGGAAGUACUGGAAAUGAUUCCCAACAGAGGGUGGAAUAAUUUUUCUGCCCCCUCCUAGAGCUCAAAAAAGGCA
RNAcentral lists this long non-coding RNA (743 nucleotides) under Monodelphis domestica (gray short-tailed opossum). Its description in RNAcentral is "lncRNA (ENSMODG00000040270.1)". The record is from RNAcentral. Lineage: Eukaryota; Metazoa; Chordata; Mammalia; Didelphimorphia; Didelphidae.